CGUAGGGUGCAAGCGUUAAUCGGAAUUACUGGGCGUAAAGCGUGCGCAGGCGGUUUGAUAAGCCAGAUGUGAAAUCCCCGAGCUCAACUUGGGAACUGCGUUUGGAACUGUCAGACUAGAGUGCGUCAGAGGGGUGGAAUUCCGCGUGUAGCAGUGAAAUGCGUAGAGAUGCGGAGGAACACCGAUGGCGAAGGCAGCCCCCUGGGAUGACACUGACGCUCAUGCACGAAAGCGUGGGAGCAAACAGGAUU
Molecule: ribosomal RNA, 251 nt
Filed under: uncultured bacterium
Lineage: Bacteria
Description: partial 16S ribosomal RNA
Rfam family: Bacterial small subunit ribosomal RNA
Source: RNAcentral